UGAAUAAUAGAAAUCGGGAAGAGUAUGCAGAUAUUUAUUUUAUAGAGAGUACAUGGUUGGUGAGAAUGUAUAAUAAUACUGCUGAAGGUAGCCCGCUAGAAUCUUUAUUUGAAACAAAGUAGGAUAAAGCGUAAUUGAGCGUUAAUCAAUAUAAGUGCUUCAUAGCAGAUGCUAUGUUGAAUUUAGGUGGUACCACGGAACAUCCGUCCUAUGU
This 214-nucleotide non-coding RNA is filed under the name Staphylococcus carnosus. RNAcentral describes it as "T-box sequence". It matches the Rfam family "T-box leader". Rfam says of the family: Uncharged tRNA acts as the effector for transcription antitermination of genes in the T-box leader family. T-boxes are found upstream of many aminoacyl-tRNA synthetase genes and some amino acid biosynthetic genes usually in Gram-positive bacteria. The anticodon of a specific tRNA base pairs to a specifier sequence within the T-box motif, and the NCCA acceptor tail of the tRNA base pairs to a conserved bulge in the T-box antiterminator hairpin. Lineage: Bacteria; Bacillati; Bacillota; Bacilli; Caryophanales; Staphylococcaceae. The record is from RNAcentral.